AAAUUUUGUACGUGUGAAUAGCCACUUAUCUAUGUUCUGAAAUAAAAUAUUCUGAAAAGUGCCACCCAUUCAACAUCACAGUUUAUCCUCUGCCUAUCAAUCAUUCAAAUGCAUUCAUAAAUCUCUGUCCAACCCCAAACAAAUUCAUUUUGUUUCCUAACACGGUUUCGCAACACCGACCAUUUUCGCCAUAACACCGGCUCCUCGGUGGAUAAAAGGGCAGCGCUUGGCCCCUUGAUGCUUCAGUUCAGAUCCGUUCUACGUCGCUUGCUCAUCCGGCACAGUUGGUUAGGAGUUCCAUGAUGACUUUUCGAGGAAUAAGUGUGUGCGUGGUGUGUGUCGCCGUGAUGCUGAUGACGUGCUCUGCCCAGACGAGCACCGAACAGGAAGUUGAAACGGACUCCGUGAAACCCGGUUCCUGUCCUCCUAUCACGGCGUCACAGCUUUUACAGCAGGGCAUCAAGAAUCUGGAGUGCCAGCAGGAUUCGGAUUGUGAUGACACUGACAAAUGCUGCUUGGUUCCUGGUGGGUUAUCUUGCGUUGAGCCAGAGGUCGGAUCGGAUGAGGAGAUGAGGAGAUGAGGAGAUCAUGACAGUUCCAGAAGAUUCGAUUGCCUCGGAGAUAACCAUGGUUCAGAAUGAGCACACACAGUGGCCGCAGCCUUGUUUCCAGAAGACUGUGUCGAUUUAUAAAUUGAUUUGCCGUCUGUAAUGGUAGAGAUUGUUGAUCCUUCAGAAUAA
This is a non-coding RNA of Penaeus vannamei (Pacific white shrimp), 740 nucleotides long. The record is from RefSeq and is a predicted model, not a curated record. Lineage: Eukaryota; Metazoa; Arthropoda; Malacostraca; Decapoda; Penaeidae.